RNAcentral lists this ribosomal RNA (418 nucleotides) under uncultured Dothideomycetes. RNAcentral's name for it is "LSU rRNA". It matches the Rfam family "Eukaryotic large subunit ribosomal RNA", at positions 103 to 533 of the family's 3401-position model. Lineage: Eukaryota; Fungi; Ascomycota; Dothideomycetes. The record is from RNAcentral.
AACAGCUCAAAUUUGAAAUCUGGCGCAAGCCCGAGUUGUAAUUUGUAGAGGAUGCUUCUGGGCAGCGGCCGGUCUAAGUUCCUUGGAACAGGACGUCAUAGAGGGUGAGAAUCCCGUAUGCGACUGGUUGGCACCCGUCACGUAGCUCCUUCGACGAGUCGAGUUGUUUGGGAAUGCAGCUCUAAAUGGGAGGUAAAUGCCUUCUAAAGCUAAAUACCGGCCAGAGACCGAUAGCGCACAAGUAGAGUGAUCGAAAGAUGAAAAGCACUUUGGAAAGAGAGUUAAAAAGCACGUGAAAUUGUUGAAAGGGAAGCGCAUGCAACCAGACUUGUCGGCGGUGUUCCGCCGGUCUUCUGACCGGUCUACUCGCCGCCGACAGGCCAGCAUCAUCUGGGAGCGCCGGAUAAAGGUGUCGAGA